GUUUUGUGGUCAUGGCUGCUCGUAGAGGAAUCUGUUCUUUACUCUCUCGUUCUCUCUUAUCUUCUUCCUCUGCUUCUUCUUCUUCUUCUGCUUAUGGGUUUAGUUCUUUUCUUCAAUCUCAUGGAAGAGUUUCAAGGUUCCAAAGAAGAGGGAAUAGAUUUAGCACAUCUGCUUUGGCAGAGGAGGAACUCAUCACUCCUCCUGUUCAGAUCAAUUACACUCAAAAUCUGAUUAAUGGGCAGUUUGUAGAUGCUGCAUCAGGAAAAACGUUUCCGACUUACGAUCCUCGCACUGGGGAAGUGAUUGCUCAUGUUGCCGAGGCCGAUGCCGAGGAUAUUAACCGUGCGGUAUCAGCAGCUCGAAAGGCAUUUGACAAGGGGCCAUGGCCGAGAAUGACUGCUUAUGAACGAUCAAGGAUAUUACUGCGGUGUGCAGAUUUGAUUGAGAAACAUAUGUCUGAACUUGCAGCAUUGGAAACAUGGAACAAUGGGAAACCUUACGAACAAUCAGUUAAAUCCGAAUUACCGUUACUCGUGCGCUUGUUUCACUAUUACGCUGGCUGGGCAGACAAAAUCCAUGGCUUAACAGUUCCAGCUGAUGGAAAUCAUCAUGUGCAAGUAUUACAUGAACCAAUUGGAGUAGCAGGACAGAUAAUUCCAUGGAACUUU
This 668-nucleotide unclassified non-coding RNA is filed under the name Hevea brasiliensis (rubber tree). The record is from RNAcentral. Lineage: Eukaryota; Viridiplantae; Streptophyta; Magnoliopsida; Malpighiales; Euphorbiaceae.